Molecule: long non-coding RNA, 1636 nt
Organism: Gopherus flavomarginatus (Mexican gopher tortoise)
Lineage: Eukaryota; Metazoa; Chordata; Testudines; Testudinidae
Exons: 2
Source: RefSeq, a predicted model, not a curated record
GGGAUUAGGUGGAGAUGUAUUCAUACAGAUGAAACACACACACACUCACUCACAAUCACUCACACACACCCUGACAGACAGACACAGGGUGUAAAGACACCUGUAGGUAAAACACACACCCCCGUAGCAAACACACAAGCCAAACACACACUCUCUCUCUCUCUCACACACACACACACCCUGAUAGACAGACACAGGGUGUAAAGACACCUAUAGGUAAAACACUCAUCUCCAUAGCUAACACACACACACAAACCAAACACAUACACUCACACCCACUCUCUCUCUCACACCCACUUGUUGUGUAUUUGGUUGUCAUGCUUUUUGUUCCCAUGGCAACUGAGUUCGAUUUUUAGGGGAUAGCCUACCCUGCUUUGGCCGGUUAGGUGAGCUCUGUGUGUGUAAAUAAAUGAUAGUUUUGUUAGCUGUCUGCUGUCCGGCCUCCAAUGAUUUCUUCCUAGACCGGCUGCCCCCGAGGAUAUAACACGUGGCGACGAGGGUGGGAUUCCGGUGCUGCUCCGGAAACAGAAGGAAGUAGAAGUCAAGGAGCCUGUGACGGGGUGCACUUGCCCCGCACUGGAGAGGAAGGGGUUAAGCCUGCACUCCUGCCAGCGGAAGCCAGGCCCCCUCGCCCAGCUGGGCACGCUCCAGUAUAAAAGGGCGCGGGCAGCCUCACUCCAGGCUGACCGCCAGCGAGGAAGGACGCACCUCGCCGGCUCCAGCCCGGGAACAGCCAAAACCCCUGAGUGCGGGAGCCAGAGGCGCCGAGACCCAGGCAGACGCCCGGGUACCUGCGGGCGCACGAGGGAGGUCGGCACGGCCAGGACCAGAGCUGGCUGAGGACCCCGGAGACCCCAAGGGCGUCCAGACGGCAGCAUUGGGGAAUGAAGUAGGAAGUAGCCCAGGGGAGCUAGGCAGGGGGCCGGUUACAGAACCGGAUCAUGGGCUGGCGUGUUUCGCUCGGCGCCUCGCUGACUCGGUGCCACGUGCACUCGCCGCUACCGGGGCUUGGUGGGACCCGCUGGAGAGGGAGGGCCCAGGCCCCCCUACUCCUGCCGCCCUCUGCAGGUGGCAGCUCACCUCCCCGACUCUGACCAUUAGGCCGCAGAGCCCUGCUAAGGAGGGCAACUUCACUGACUCUGGACACUCGGUCACUCAACUCUGCUAAGGAGGGCAGCCAUACAGACUGGGGUCACAGGGCAAUGAUAUUGACUCCAGCCAUUGGGCCAUACUGCCCUGAGGCUAAGGGCAGGCAAGCGGACUUAACUGUGGAUCUGUGACGUCUUUGCCCCACCUCAAAGGGGGACGGGGUGUACUUGCCCCACGACAUCGAAAACCAUCCAGACGGGCUGAGGUGGGUCCAAGCCAACCUUGAAGAAACACUGGGAAAUAUCGAAAACGAUCGCUUAAAACUGGACCCAGCUGGAGAAACCCCCCAGCGGGUGCAAAUUCAGAAAAAGUGGGACUUCUAUUCCACUGGGAGUUUGUUAAUGUGUCCCAAGCGGCCUGGAGGCACCGAGGCCAUGGAGAACAACCAACAACAAGUAGAUGUUCUUGGAAACGCAGAUUCUUGACUUGACUCUGGUCUGUGAAGACUAGGGACAGAUUUUUAAAGAUUAAAUACAAUAGAUGCCAA